RNAcentral lists this ribosomal RNA (251 nucleotides) under uncultured bacterium. RNAcentral's name for it is "partial 16S ribosomal RNA". It matches the Rfam family "Bacterial small subunit ribosomal RNA", at positions 81 to 334 of the family's 1533-position model. The record is from RNAcentral.
UAAGUGAUGGCGACCGGCGCACGGGUGAGUAACACGUAUCCAACCUGCCGAUAACUCGGGGAUAGCCUUUCGAAAGAAAGACUAAUACCCGAUGGUAUAAUAAAGCCGCAUGGUUUAAUUAUUAAAGAAUUUCGGUUAUCGAUGGGGAUGCGUUCCAUUAGGCAGUUGGUGAGGUAACGGCUCACCAAACCUUCGAUGGAUAGGGGUUCUGAGAGGAAGGUCCCCCACAUUGGAACUGAGACACGGUCCAA